Molecule: ribosomal RNA, 322 nt
Filed under: uncultured eukaryote
Lineage: Eukaryota
Description: partial 18S ribosomal RNA
Rfam family: Eukaryotic small subunit ribosomal RNA
Source: RNAcentral
CCCUUAGAUGUUCUGGGCCGCACGCGUGCUACACUGAGUGGAUCAGCGGGUCAGGUUGCGCGAAAGCGUUUCCUAAUCUUUAAAUCCGCUCGUGAUGGGGAUUGACGGUUGCAAUUUUCUGUCAUGAACGAGGAAUACCUUGUAAGCGCAGGUCAUCAUCCCGCGCUGAAUACGUCCCUGCCCUUUGUACACACCGCCCGUCGCUCCUACCGAUUGAGUGGUCCGGUGAGGCUUUGGGAUCUGAGCGGAAAGAGCGUUUCGCUGUUUCUGCUCGGAAAACUCAGUCGAACCUUAUCAUUUAGAGGAAGGAGAAGUCGUAACA